Neoarius graeffei (lesser salmon catfish) is the source of this 1272-nucleotide long non-coding RNA. RefSeq lists it as uncharacterized. The record is from RefSeq and is a predicted model, not a curated record. The transcript has 2 exons. NCBI's taxonomy places the organism in Eukaryota, Metazoa, Chordata, Actinopteri, Siluriformes, Ariidae.
GUCUGAUUGGGAAUAAAAUAGGAGACUCAGGAGAGAAGCUGCUCUCUGCUCUUAAGGAUGAUAAACAUUACAAACUACAGGAACUCUGGUUCAGGUUUUGAUGAACAUCUGUGUGUGUGAUGAAGACUCUGGUGUUCCUGCAUUUCCAUGUUGGGGAACAGACAACACCAUUCAUAAACACGUCAGUCGUUUAGUUCUAACAAAUGAAAGAGACUUGGAGACGUGGUCAAUGUGUGUUCAUGGUGCACAGUGAAUCAGACUGCACACAAUUCUACACUGAAUGUGGAACAACUUGUGAUCUGCAUGAAACUGCCUGGACCUCAGUCCCUUAGAAACCCUGAAAGAGCAGGUGAAAAAGCACAGGGACUCGAGCUGAACCCAGUCAGUGGAAGAGGGAGCUGAAAUGGACAGGAACAGUUUCAGGACAUUUGGGGAGUUAAUCUGAGGAAGCCCCGAGGAGACUCACUACAAGGCGCAUUUAUCACUUUGUCCUUUGGUUGGUAUUUAAUAUACUCACUGAGCACUUUAUUAGGAACACCUGGAUGGCCCUGCCUUGUCGAUGAGAGGGUUCACCAGAGAACGGCCAGACUGGUUUGAGCUGACAGAAAGGCUACAGUAACUCAGAUAACCACUCUGUACAAUUGUGGUGAGCAGAAAAGCAUCUCAAAAUGCACAACACACUGAACACUGAGGUGGAUGACCAUGUUGGGUUCCACUUCUGUCAGCCAAGAACAGAAAGCUGAGGCUGCAGUGGGCACAGGAUCACCACAACUGGACCGGUGAAGAGUGAAAAAACGUAGCCUGGUCUGAUGAACCUCGAUUUCUGCUGAGGCUCACAGAUGGUGGCGUCAGAAUUUGGCACCAACAGCAUGAAUUAGUGUUCCUAAUAAAGUGCUCUGUGACUGUAGAUUAGAUCUUUUUGUUGUUACAGGAUCAGACCAAAGCUGUUCUUUAUUUUCUCUGAAAUCUGAUCCUGACUUUUUUUUUUGUUGCUUGUAUCAGCUGAUCAAAUCCAGUAUGGGAUCAGUGCCAUCCCUUGGACUGAAGCGUACACUACUUACAUCAUGUAGCACAAUCGUACCAGUCAAAUAGAUUUUAAAGAAAUUAAUAUAUAAAUACAGUGUGAUUAUUUUUGUUGGAGAAAAUUAAUGUAUUUUUUUAUUUUCUGCAAAAACAAUCAACAGUUAUUGAAAAAAUAAGUUUAUGCAUAACACAUGGGUGUUAGUACACAGAAAAAUGGAUUUCAAUCAAAAUAAAAUCACGAAAGUUUCA